AUGAACGCUGGCGGCGUGCCUAAUCCAUGCAAGUCGCGCGAACAGACGAGGAGCUUGCUCCUCUGACGUUAGCGGCGGACGGGUGAGUAACACGUGGAUAACCUACCUAUAAGACUGGGAUAACUUCGGGAAACCGGAGCUAAUACCGGAUAAUAUAUUGAACCGCAUGGUUCAAUAGUGAAAGACGGUUUUGCUGUCACUUAUAGAUGGAUCCGCGCCGCAUUAGCUAGUUGGUAAGGUAACGGCUUACCAAGGCAACGAUGCGUGGCCGACCUGAGAGGGUGAUCGGCCACACUGGAACUGAGACACGGUCCAGACUCCUACGGGAGGCAGCAGUAGGGAAUCUUCCGCAAUGGGCGAAAGCCUGACGGAGCAACGCCGCGUGAGUGAUGAAGGUCUUCGGAUCGUAAAACUCUGUUAUUAGGGAAGAACAAAUGUGUAAGUAACUAUGCACGUCUUGACGGUACCUAAUCAGAAAGCCACGGCUAACUACGUG
Molecule: ribosomal RNA, 496 nt
Filed under: uncultured bacterium
Lineage: Bacteria
Description: partial 16S ribosomal RNA
Rfam family: Bacterial small subunit ribosomal RNA
Source: RNAcentral